AUCCACUGAGGCCUCCUCUUUUCACAUUGAGCCUAUAUGAGGCAAAAGAGGCAGAGAGCUAUUACAAGGUGGACAGUUCUGUGUGGUACAAUGAACUUCGCAGCAUGGAAGCAGAGGUCAAUGUUCACAUCUUAAAUGCUGUAGCUGCUGCUGAAGAAAACUUAGUCCUAGCUCAUCAGGUUCGCUGUCUUGCGUUGUUGUUUGACUUUUAUGUUGAAGAUGGGGGUUCAUCUUCUGAGAAGAGAAGGAGCACUUCUGUGAUUGAUGUUGGUUUAUGCAAACCUAUGACUGGUGAGCUUGUUGCUCGAUCAUUUAGAGGAAGAGAUCAUAGGAAGAUGAUCUCAUGGAAAGACGGUUUUUGCACCCCUGGCUAUCCGUACUAGGUAAUAUCCCAAAUGUUGUUACAUAUUGUAGCUUUAUUUCUUGAGUGUGCUAGGUUGUUUAAUUCCAUGUGAUUCGUCUUUCGUGCUAUACCAUGUACUACUGAGAUUCACAUUGCAACAUACGGCUCUUGAUGACAUUAAGAUGCUAUUUGUUGCCUGCUUUUCAAAUUGAUGAGGCUGA
RNAcentral lists this unclassified non-coding RNA (564 nucleotides) under Hevea brasiliensis (rubber tree). Lineage: Eukaryota; Viridiplantae; Streptophyta; Magnoliopsida; Malpighiales; Euphorbiaceae. The record is from RNAcentral.